UACAGAGGUCCCAAGCGUUGUUCGGAUUCAUUGGGCGUAAAGGGUGUGUAGGUGGCGCCGUAAGUCGGGUGUGAAAUCUCGGGGCUUAACUCCGAAACUGCAUUCGAUACUGCGGUGCUUGAGGACUGGAGAGGAGACUGGAAUUCAUGGUGUAGCGGUGAAAUGCGCAGAUAUCAGGAGGAACACCGGUGGCGAAGGCGGUUCUCUGGGCAUUACCUGACGCUGAGGAGCGAAAGUGUGGGGAGCGAACAGG
Molecule: ribosomal RNA, 253 nt
Filed under: uncultured bacterium
Lineage: Bacteria
Description: partial 16S ribosomal RNA
Rfam family: Bacterial small subunit ribosomal RNA
Source: RNAcentral